AUACAGCAGGCCAGUUGCAGGAAUGAAAUAUUUGGUGUUUAUUUUUCGAGUUUUGUAUUUGUCUUUUUGUCGUUUACUUCAGUUUAAAAAUAUUUUCGCCAGCGGCAGUGUAUUUUGCAUGCGAUUUUAUGAGAUGUGCUGGUAAAUUUAUAUAAUUGACUUCUGAUAAUAUCGCAUCCAAUGGAGCACUGUCACCGGCCUAAAUACUGGUUAUGGGACAGCUUCUAAGUCCAUAUCCGGAAUUGAACCUGAACCCAUACCAGUCCUGAAAUCAAACUUUAAGCCGUAUUGGUCUUGGAACUGAUCCCGAACCUAAAUCGGUCCAAGAACUGAACUCGAAUCAUUUUUGGAAUUGGUCCUGUCCCAAAUCUGCCCUAGAACUGAUCCCAUACUGUUCGUUCAUAAUAGACCGGUCACGAAAUUGUUACGGAACCCAAAUCGGUCCUAGAACUGAUACCGAACCCGUAUCAGUUCUGGAACUGGUCCUGUCCCAAACCUGCCCUAGAACUUAUCUUGAACCCAUACCGUUCCCGUAAUAGAUCUCGUAUCCAUACCGGUUACGGAACUGAUACCGAGGUCUUUAUAGGCUCUGGAACCAAUCUUCAACUCAUCCCCGUACUAGAACUGAAAUUGAACUGAUAUAUCUGUCCUGGAAAUGAUAUAAAAUCCAUACUGGUUCUGAAUCCUUAACUGAAUCUCUGCUGGAACUGAUACCGUACCUCCAGCCAUUACGGAUCCAUCUCGUUUUUUUUAUUCUUAUAUGCCUCAAUUAUGGCCUACUCCGAUUAUAAACUAUAUGCAAAUGAAAGGAAAAUAUGAACGCGUUUCGGGUAC
Molecule: long non-coding RNA, 834 nt
Organism: Anopheles merus
Lineage: Eukaryota; Metazoa; Arthropoda; Insecta; Diptera; Culicidae
Exons: 3
Source: RefSeq, a predicted model, not a curated record